AUGACCACAUCACGUUGAAACAGCGGUUCCCGUACGAUCGCCGAUGUUAAGCAACGUCGAUCCUCGUCAGUACCUUCAUGGGUGAACGCUUGAAAAUACUAGGUAUUGUAA
Acanthosepion pharaonis is the source of this 111-nucleotide non-coding RNA. NCBI's taxonomy places the organism in Eukaryota, Metazoa, Mollusca, Cephalopoda, Sepiida, Sepiidae. The record is from the annotation of a GenBank genome assembly.